GAAAUGCGAUAAGUAAUGUGAAUUGCAGAAUUCAGUGAAUCAUCGAAUCUUUGAACGCACCUUGCGCUCCUUGGUAUUCCUUGGAGCAUGCCUGUUUGAGUAUCAUGAAAUCUUCAAAGUAAAUCUUUUGUUAACUCAAUUGGUUUCUACUUUGGUAUUGGAGGUCUUUGCAGCUUCACACCUGCUCCUCUUUGUUCAUUAGCUGGAUCUCAGUGUUAUGCUUGGUUCCACUCGGCGUGAUAAGUUAUCUAUCGCUGAGGACACUCUAAAAGGUGGCCAAGGUAAAUGCAGAUGAACCGCUUCUAAUAGUCCAUUGACUUGGACAAUACUUUUAUGAUCUGAUCUCAAAUCAGGUAGGACUACCCGCUGAACUUAAGC
This 378-nucleotide unclassified non-coding RNA is filed under the name plant metagenome. Its description in RNAcentral is "partial contains 5.8S ribosomal RNA, internal transcribed spacer 2, and large subunit ribosomal RNA". The stretch from base 1 to 105 matches the Rfam family "5.8S ribosomal RNA", at positions 50 to 154 of the family's 154-position model. The record is from RNAcentral.